AGUAACGCGUGAGGAACCUGCCUCAAAGAGGGGACAACAGUUGGAAACGACUGCUAAUACCGCAUAAGCCCACGGCUCGGCAUCGAGCAGAGGGAAAAGGAGUGAUCCGCUUUGAGAUGGCCUCGCGUCCGAUUAGCUAGUUGGUGAGGUAAUGGCCCACCAAGGCGACGAUCGGUAGCCGGACUGAGAGGUUGAACGGCCACAUUGGGACUGAGACACGGCCCAG
This 226-nucleotide ribosomal RNA is filed under the name uncultured bacterium. Its description in RNAcentral is "partial 16S ribosomal RNA". It matches the Rfam family "Bacterial small subunit ribosomal RNA", at positions 109 to 334 of the family's 1533-position model. The record is from RNAcentral.